Molecule: ribosomal RNA, 468 nt
Filed under: uncultured bacterium
Lineage: Bacteria
Description: partial 16S ribosomal RNA
Rfam family: Bacterial small subunit ribosomal RNA
Source: RNAcentral
GACGAACGCUGGCGGCGUGCUUAACACAUGCAAGUCGGACGGAAAGGCCCUGCUUUUGUGGGGUGCUCGAGUGGCGAACGGGUGAGUAACACGUGAGUAACCUGCCCUUGACUUUGGGAUAACUUCAGGAAACUGGGGCUAAUACCGGAUAGGAGCUCCUGCUGCAUGGUGGGGGUUGGAAAGUUUCGGCGGUUGGGGAUGGACUCGCGGCUUAUCAGCUUGUUGGUGGGGUAGUGGCUUACCAAGGCUUUGACGGGUAGCCGGCCUGAGAGGGUGACCGGCCACAUUGGGACUGAGAUACGGCCCAGACUCCUACGGGAGGCAGCAGUGGGGAAUAUUGCACAAUGGGCGGAAGCCUGAUGCAGCAACGCCGCGUGCGGGAUGACGGCCUUCGGGUUGUAAACCGCUUUCGCCUGUGACGAAGCGUGAGUGACGGUAAUGGGUAAAGAAGCACCGGCUAACUACGUG